RNAcentral lists this long non-coding RNA (528 nucleotides) under Monodelphis domestica (gray short-tailed opossum). RNAcentral's name for it is "lncRNA (ENSMODG00000029935.2)". The record is from RNAcentral. Lineage: Eukaryota; Metazoa; Chordata; Mammalia; Didelphimorphia; Didelphidae.
CCCACCCCCAGCAUGCAUUCUAAAUGAAGUGAUUAUCCCAGAGGUUAAAAAUUUUGCAUUAUAUCUGUCAAGUUGUAAACUAGAUAGUACAAAGAAACUGGUCUCCAAAAAAAAAGUAUAAUCCUUAAAAAAUCUUUUUUUCUCUGCCAAUGAUUCCAUUUUGUGCAUGUUUGAUGGAGUAUGAAACCAGACACAGAAUAGGCAGCCAAAGCCAUGGCAGGUGGAGUGGGUACAAUGGAAGUACAUGACAGGACUCGAUUACAGAUAUAUUCCUUUUAUAAUACUGAAAAAAACCCACAUGCACAUAAUAUAAGUCUGCAAUUGAAGAAAUGAAGGGGGAGAAUUGUGUCAGAAUUUGAACUCAGGCCUUCCCCGCUCUGAGUUCGAAAUUCUAACCACUGAGCAACAGAAGAUAGAAGGCUAAUUGAUUAAGCUGUCAUUGGAGAAUUGGUGCAUGUGAAAAAAAAGGUGGACAGAGGUGCUUAGAGAAGAAAUAAAAUGUAAGAUAAUAAUUGAUUUUCCCCCUUA